This 301-nucleotide ribosomal RNA is filed under the name uncultured bacterium. Its description in RNAcentral is "bacterial SSU rRNA". It matches the Rfam family "Bacterial small subunit ribosomal RNA", at positions 8 to 290 of the family's 1533-position model. The record is from RNAcentral.
AGAGUUUGAUCAUGGCUCAGGAUGAACGCUGGCGGCGUGCUUAACACAUGCAAGUCGAACGGAGAACCCCUGACGGAGGAUUCGUCCAACUGAAGGGAAUUCUUAGUGGCGGACGGGUGAGUAACGCGUGAGGAACCUACCUUGGAGUGGGGAAUAACAGUCCGAAAGGACUGCUAAUACCGCAUAAUGCAGUUGGGCCGCAUGGCUCUGACUGCCAAAGAUUUAUCGCUCUGAGAUAGCCUCGCAUCUGAUUAGCUAGUAGGCGGGGUAACGGCCCACCUAGGCGACGAUCAGUAGCCGG